ACGGGAGGCAGCAGUAGGGAAUAUUGCACAAUGGGGGAAACCCUGAUGCAGCGACGCCGCGUGAGUGAUGAAGUAUUUCGGUAUGUAAAGCUCUAUCAGCAGGGAAGAUAAUGACGGUACCUGACUAAGAAGCCCCGGCUAACUACGUGCCAGCAGCCGCGGUAAUACGUAGGGGGCAAGCGUUAUCCGGAUUUACUGGGUGUAAAGGGUGCGUAGGCGGCUUGUCAAGUCAGAGGUGAAAGCCCGGAGCCCAACUCCGGAACUGCCUUUGAUACUGUCAGGCUUGAAUUCGGAUGCCGUGGGAGGAAUGAGUAGUGUAGCGGUGAAAUGCAUAGAUAUUACUCAGAACACCGAUUGCGAAGGCAUCUCACGAAUCCGACAUUGACGCUGAGGCACGAAAGCGUGGGGAUCAAACAGGAUUAGAUACCCUGGUA
Molecule: ribosomal RNA, 434 nt
Filed under: uncultured Lachnospiraceae bacterium
Lineage: Bacteria; Bacillati; Bacillota; Clostridia; Lachnospirales; Lachnospiraceae
Description: partial 16S ribosomal RNA
Rfam family: Bacterial small subunit ribosomal RNA
Source: RNAcentral